GAAAACCAUCUUCCACACCUCCAAACUUCAAAUUUCUUCAUCCUUUCUCUUCCUAAUCCAUAGAAAAACUAAACCCUUACUUUUUCCCCCACUUUAAACGCAUUUGGUACCCCCAAAAACUAUUCCAAAGUUGCUGUCAAAAUGGAAUCCGAGAAGAAGGUUAAAGCUUCUUCAACAUAGAGUUGGGUUUUCGAAAGCCAUAUCCUCACCCUUAAAGCUACAAGUUUGAGCUUCUAGAAACUGAACUUUUGAUUAGUUUUCAAGGGUAUGAAAAAUAUUUUCCUUAAGCGUGGUACCGAGACCAAGGUCUCUCCAUGUUCAUGUUAUGUACCAAGAUCAAGGUCUCUUCAUGUUCAUGUUAUAUUCGGAUGCCACAAGUUUACUUGGUUUGGGUCGUUCCUCCAG
Long non-coding RNA from Morus notabilis, 405 nucleotides. RefSeq lists it as uncharacterized. Lineage: Eukaryota; Viridiplantae; Streptophyta; Magnoliopsida; Rosales; Moraceae. The transcript has 3 exons. The record is from RefSeq and is a predicted model, not a curated record.